Electrophorus electricus (electric eel) is the source of this 898-nucleotide non-coding RNA. Lineage: Eukaryota; Metazoa; Chordata; Actinopteri; Gymnotiformes; Gymnotidae. The record is from RefSeq and is a predicted model, not a curated record.
CACUGGUGAUUGUUAGGAGUAAAAAAAAGAAAAAAGGAAAGGGUGUAGGUGUUUACACUGGAGAUAUUUCUGUGCUGUGUGUAAGCGUGAGACUGCAUUUCCUCAGUAUUCUAGAGGGUAAACUGGGAGAGGAAGUCCUGGAUGUAGGAGAUCCGACUCCAACAAAAUACAUCUAUUAUUAUUAAAUGAAAACAUAUUUUAGUCUGCACUCAGAAUCUAUUCAGUUAAGAAAUCAUGGACCAAGAGAAUGAGACCCUCAAACAGCAGCAGUCUUCCCUAGGCACGGGUAGAAAGUACAGGCGAAAAUGGACCCCACGCGUAUUUGGAACGAUGGGGACUGCCACCGGGUCCCAACCAAGAACCCAGUUGGGACACCUGGAGACAUGAGCCUGACGUUUGAGUACAGCUAAUGAACCACAGGUUCUGUGACUCCUGCCUCUCAUUCCUAUUCACGGUACUUCAGGUGUAGACUGUCCUUCCUAAUUGAUGUGACCUUUAUCCUAACUGGCUGCCUCACCUCAUCCCAGUGUAUAAUGAUAGUCAUGGACAAAGUUUUGUUUAGGCUGUAGACCUUAACAAUUGUGAUUUGCAUUUUUGCCAGUGAACUGUUGUUUUGACCUUGGCUUCAUUAUACUGUUUACAAUUACUGCUUCCUCUAUUGGAUCUUGUUGUUGUACAUCUUGUGUGUAGUUGGGAAAUAGGGAGUUGGAGCUAUUUAUUUUGAUCACUGUGGUUUUGUUCUGUAUGUGUGCAGGGAGUCUGGUUAGGUUUUUUUUUUUUUUUUUUUGGUUUAUUGGAGGCAAGUUUAGCUGCUUCUUUUUUCUGUUUGUUAUUUUGGCCUUGCCAUCUCCUAACACUCACACCCUCUAUGAAUAAAUUACUCAGUAAUUAAAACUAC